This 235-nucleotide ribosomal RNA is filed under the name Helicobacter pylori. RNAcentral describes it as "partial 23S ribosomal RNA". It matches the Rfam family "Bacterial large subunit ribosomal RNA", at positions 1887 to 2119 of the family's 2925-position model. The record is from RNAcentral. Lineage: Bacteria; Pseudomonadati; Campylobacterota; Epsilonproteobacteria; Campylobacterales; Helicobacteraceae.
GCGUCAGUCGCAAGAUGAAGCGUUGAAUUGAAGCCCGAGUAAACGGCGGCCGUAACUAUAACGGUCCUAAGGUAGCGAAAUUCCUCGUCGGUUAAAUACCGACCUGCAUGAAUGGCGUAACGAGAUGGGAGCUGUCUCAACCAGAGAUUCAGUGAAAUUGUAGUGGAGGUGAAAAUUCCUCCUACCCGCGGCAAGACGGAAAGACCCCGUGGACCUUUACUACAACUUAGCACUG